UACGUAGGCAGCAAGCGUUGUUCGGAGUUACUGGGCGUAAAGGGUGUGUAGGCGGUUGUUUAAGUUUGGUGUGAAAUCUCCCGGCUCAACUGGGAGGGUGCGCCGAAUACUGAAUGACUAGAGUGCGGGAGAGGUGAGUGGAAUUCCUGGUGUAGCGGUGAAAUGCGUAGAUAUCAGGAGGAACAUCAGUUGCGAAGGCGGCUCUCUGGACCAGCACUGACACUGAGGCACGAAAGCGUGGGGAGCAAACAGG
RNAcentral lists this ribosomal RNA (253 nucleotides) under uncultured bacterium. RNAcentral describes it as "partial 16S ribosomal RNA". It matches the Rfam family "Bacterial small subunit ribosomal RNA", at positions 524 to 776 of the family's 1533-position model. The record is from RNAcentral.